UACGGAGGGUGCAAGCGUUGUUCGGAAUCAUUGGGCGUAAAGCGCGUGUAGGUGGCUUGGCAAGUCGGUUGUGAAAUCCCGGGGCCCAACCCCGGAACUGCAUUCGAAACUGCCUCGCUAGAGUCCCGGAGAGGAAGGCGGAGUUCCCGGUGUAGAGGUGAAAUUCGUAGAUAUCGGGAGGAACACCAGCGGCGAAGGCGGCCUUCUGGACGGUGACUGACACUGAGACGCGAAAGCGUGGGGAGCAAACAGG
This 253-nucleotide ribosomal RNA is filed under the name uncultured bacterium. Its description in RNAcentral is "partial 16S ribosomal RNA". It matches the Rfam family "Bacterial small subunit ribosomal RNA", at positions 524 to 776 of the family's 1533-position model. The record is from RNAcentral.